GAUGAACGCUGGCUACAGGCUUAGCACAUGCAAGUCGAGGGGAAACGACGGGGAAGCUUGCUUCCCCGGGCGUCGACCGGCGCACGGGUGAGUAACGCGUAUCCAACCUGCCUCUGACUGAGGGAUAACCCGUCGAAAGUCGGCCUAAUACCUCAUGGUAUCGUCUGCGGGCAUCCAACGACGAUUAAAGAUUUCAUCGGUCAGGGAUGGGGAUGCGUCUGAUUAGCUUGUUGGCGGGGUAACGGCCCACCAAGGCUACGAUCAGUAGGGGUUCUGAGAGGAAGGUCCCCCACAUUGGAACUGAGACACGGUCCAAACUCCUACGGGAGGCAGCAGUGAGGAAUAUUGGUCAAUGGGCGAGAGCCUGAACCAGCCAAGUAGCGUGCAGGAAGACGGCCCUAUGGGUUGUAAACUGCUUUUAUGCGGGGAUAAAGUGAGGGACGUGUCCCUCAUUGCAGGUACCGCAUGAAUAAGAACCGGCUAAUUCCGUG
RNAcentral lists this ribosomal RNA (491 nucleotides) under uncultured bacterium. Its description in RNAcentral is "partial 16S ribosomal RNA". It matches the Rfam family "Bacterial small subunit ribosomal RNA", at positions 28 to 507 of the family's 1533-position model. The record is from RNAcentral.